GUACCUAUAGUUGAAUGCAACGUUGGUUUUUCAUAUCAGAGGUUUAGGUUAAAGUCCAAAUAGGUAUU
RNAcentral lists this transfer RNA (68 nucleotides) under Pelomedusa subrufa. RNAcentral describes it as "tRNA-Glu". It matches the Rfam family "tRNA". Rfam says of the family: Transfer RNA (tRNA) molecules are approximately 80 nucleotides in length. Their secondary structure includes four short double-helical elements and three loops (D, anti-codon, and T loops). The record is from RNAcentral. Lineage: Eukaryota; Metazoa; Chordata; Testudines; Pelomedusidae.